AGAAGUUUAGGCUAAUAAGACCAAGGGCCUUCAAAGCCCUAAGUAAGUGUACUACACUUAACUUCUG
RNAcentral lists this transfer RNA (67 nucleotides) under Mephitis macroura (hooded skunk). RNAcentral's name for it is "tRNA-Trp". The record is from RNAcentral. RNAcentral also lists the same sequence under 1 other name. Lineage: Eukaryota; Metazoa; Chordata; Mammalia; Carnivora; Mephitidae.